This 74-nucleotide transfer RNA is filed under the name Dreissena polymorpha. RNAcentral describes it as "tRNA-Gly". Lineage: Eukaryota; Metazoa; Mollusca; Bivalvia; Myida; Dreissenidae. The record is from RNAcentral.
AGCUUUUCAGCGACGUGGUGAGAGUGUCUGACUACCACUCCGGAGGUCAUGGGUUCGAUCCCCCAUAAGAGCUC